UGGGGGAACUCAUGUUGAAGGAGCUCGGGUGGUGUAGUGGAAGUUCGUCCGUUGGGGGAAUUCAGUCAGGGGAGGUACCAUCUGCGGUCGAUAGCCGGAGGAGUCUCGGGAGGGUCAAUCCUGUUGGAAACUUCGGCUGAGGGUAUUUUAUACCCAACAUGGCUUUUAGCUAAUAAUCAGAGUUUCUGGCCUGAAACUUCAAUUAAAAAAACAAAGCUGCAUAGAGAAAGUGGCGCA
This 237-nucleotide long non-coding RNA is filed under the name Elaeis guineensis (African oil palm). Its description in RNAcentral is "long non-coding RNA (EGUI_LNC037767)". Lineage: Eukaryota; Viridiplantae; Streptophyta; Magnoliopsida; Arecales; Arecaceae. The record is from RNAcentral.